GACGAACGCUGGCGGCGUGCUUAACACAUGCAAGUCGUACGGUAAGGCCCUUUCGGGGGUACACGAGUGGCGAACGGGUGAGUAACACGUGAGUAACCUGCCCACAACUUUGGGAUAACGCUAGGAAACUGGUGCUAAUACUGGAUAUGUGCUCCUGCUGCAUGGUGGGGGUUGGAAAGCUCCGGCGGUUGUGGAUGGACUCGCGGCCUAUCAGCUUGUUGGUGGGGUAGUGGCCUACCAAGGCGGCGACGGGUAGCCGGCCUGAGAGGGUGACCGGCCACAUUGGGACUGAGAUACGGCCCAGACUCCUACGGGAGGCAGCAGUGGGGAAGAUUGCACAAUGGGCGCAAGCCUGAUGCAGCAACGCCGCGGGCGGGAGGACGGCCUUCGGGUUGGAAACCGCGUUCAGCAGGGACGAAGCUUUUUGUGACGGUACCUGCAGAAGAAGCACCGGCUAACUACGUG
RNAcentral lists this ribosomal RNA (465 nucleotides) under uncultured bacterium. RNAcentral describes it as "partial 16S ribosomal RNA". It matches the Rfam family "Bacterial small subunit ribosomal RNA", at positions 28 to 507 of the family's 1533-position model. The record is from RNAcentral.